RNAcentral lists this ribosomal RNA (253 nucleotides) under uncultured bacterium. RNAcentral's name for it is "partial 16S ribosomal RNA". It matches the Rfam family "Bacterial small subunit ribosomal RNA", at positions 524 to 776 of the family's 1533-position model. The record is from RNAcentral.
UACGUAGGGGGCAAGCGUUGUCCGGAUUUACUGGGUGUAAAGGGUGCUCAGGUGGUUUUGUAAGUCAGAGGUGAAAUCUCAGAGCUUAACUCUGGAACUGCCUUUGAUACUAUAGAACUUGUGUACGGAAGAGGCUGAUGGAAUUCCUGGUGUAGCAGUGAAAUGCGUAGAUAUCAGGAAGAACACCAGUGGCGAAGGCGGUCAGCUGGUCCGGUACAGACACUAAAGCACGAAAGCGUGGGUAGCAAACAGG